AACUAAAUAUAGCUCAAAAAUUUAACCAUUUAAACUAUUUUAUAUAUAUUAAAACAAAACAUUUACCAUAACUAAAGUAUAGG
RNAcentral lists this ribosomal RNA (83 nucleotides) under Afronycteris nanus (Banana bat). RNAcentral describes it as "partial 16S ribosomal RNA". Lineage: Eukaryota; Metazoa; Chordata; Mammalia; Chiroptera; Vespertilionidae. The record is from RNAcentral.